Molecule: ribosomal RNA, 499 nt
Filed under: uncultured bacterium
Lineage: Bacteria
Description: partial 16S ribosomal RNA
Rfam family: Bacterial small subunit ribosomal RNA
Source: RNAcentral
AUUGAACGCUGGCGGAAUGCUUUACACAUGCAAGUCGAACGGCAGCACGGACUUCGGUCUGGUGGCGAGUGGCGAACGGGUGAGUAACGUAUCGGAACGUGCCCAGUCGUGGGGGAUAACGUAGUGAAAAUUACGCUAAUACCGCAUACGGUAUAAGGAUGAUAGCGGGGGACCGCAAGACACAGCGCGAUUGUAUGGGCCAAUAUCAGAUUAGGUAGUUCGUGGGGUAAAGGCCCACCAAGCCAACGAUCUGUAGCUGGUCUGAGAGGACGACCAGCCACACUGGAACUGAGACACGGUCCGGACUCCUACGGGAGGCAGCAGUGGGGAAUUUUGGACAAUGGGCGAAAGCCUGAUACAGCCAUUCCGCGUGCAGGAUGAAGGCCCUCGGGUUGUAAACUGCUUUUGUACAGAACGAAAAGGUUUCUACUAAUACUAGGAGCUCAUGACGGUACUGUAAGAAUAAGCACCGGCUAACUACGUGCCAGCCGCCGCAGAA